Molecule: ribosomal RNA, 403 nt
Filed under: uncultured bacterium
Lineage: Bacteria
Description: bacterial SSU rRNA
Rfam family: Bacterial small subunit ribosomal RNA
Source: RNAcentral
GAGGAAUAUUGCACAAUGGGCGCAAGCCUGAUGCAGCAACGCCACGUGAGGGACGAAGGCCUUCGGGUCGUAAACCUCUUUUCUGGGGGACGAGUAAGGACGGUACCCCAGGAAUAAGUCUCGGCUAACUACGUGCCAGCAGCCGCGGUAAAACGUAGGAGGCGAGCGUUAUCCGGAUUUACUGGGCGUAAAGCGUACGCGGGUGGCUUCGUUAGUCGGACAUGAAAGCUCCUGGCUUAACUGGGAGAGGUUGUUCGAUACUGCGGGGCUUGAGGUUGGGAGAGGGACGUGGAAUUCCCGGUGUAGUGGUGGAAUGCGUAGAUAUCGGGAGGAACACCAGUGGCGCAAGCGGCGUCCUGGCCCACACCUGACGCUGAGGUACGAAAGCGUGGGUAGCAAACAG